GGUGAGGUGGCCGAGUGGUCGAAGGCGCACGCCUGGAAAGUGUGUAUACGCCAAAAGCGUAUCGAGGGUUCGAAUCCCUUCCUCUCUG
RNAcentral lists this transfer RNA (88 nucleotides) under Halioglobus sp. RNAcentral's name for it is "tRNA-Ser". It matches the Rfam family "tRNA". Rfam says of the family: Transfer RNA (tRNA) molecules are approximately 80 nucleotides in length. Their secondary structure includes four short double-helical elements and three loops (D, anti-codon, and T loops). The record is from RNAcentral. Lineage: Bacteria; Pseudomonadati; Pseudomonadota; Gammaproteobacteria; Cellvibrionales; Halieaceae.